Homo sapiens (human) is the source of this 1680-nucleotide long non-coding RNA. Ensembl annotates it as long intergenic non-protein coding RNA 2725. NCBI's taxonomy places the organism in Eukaryota, Metazoa, Chordata, Mammalia, Primates, Hominidae. The record is from Ensembl.
AGAGGAUGGAAUGCUUCACCAGGAGACACAAGAAUAAUUUCCUUGACCUGGGAGUUAAGACUGCCACCCAGCCACCUUGUGCUCUCCAUGCUGCUGAUUCAACAGGCAAAUAAGGAAGUUAUGGUGUGGGCUACAGUGAUUGAUCUGACUAACAAGAGGGAAAUUGCUCCACCAUGGGGGUGAGGGAGAGUACAUCUGGAAUACAGAAGUUCCCUUAGGACACCCUUAGUGUUCCCACACAUUGCGAUUAAGGCCAGUGGAAAACUACAAUAACUCAGUUCAGGCGGAACAACUCAUGGGGCAGAAUCUUCAAGGAAUGAAGAUUUGAGUCCUUCUACCAGGUUUUGCAGAGUGCCUCCAGAAAUAAAAGUGUUACAAAAGAAUCACUUCAGAAAACCUACACUUAGAGAGUCCAUUUGAAAAUUGCCCUAUUUGAAAUGAAGUGGAGAUCAGUAAUAACAAGGACUUCCCCAUAUAACCCAAGGUCCUACUGGGUUAGUGUGAUCUUCUGCGGAAGGCUGCAGCUGCUGUCAGGAGGCCCUCUGUCUACACUCCUCUCUGGAGAAGUGUCCCUUUUAAACUGAAGCAUAGUGAGAACAAGUGUAAAGCACAACACAGACGGAAGAUUGCACCUUAGCUCACUGCCCCGUGCACCCCGGUUACACCGUCUAAGAAAACACUCUGGAUUCAAUCCUUGGAAAAUAUGUGCUGAGCUACCACUUCUGGAAGAGUCUUUCCUGGUUAAUUACUUGAAACCUGUUGCAUUGGGAAUUUCUCAGAAAGUCUGCCUUGAUGAGCUUUACUCAAGAGCCGCAACUUCACGGAUCGGACAACAGAAAAGACUUCGGCAGUUACCAAAUCUGAAGUACUCAUUGUGCAUGCUAGCAAUCUGGGACUAAUAAGGUUAAAUUGUCUGAGACCUCAAGGUGGAAGUGACAGCUCCUGUGAAUGAUGCAUGAAGCCGCUGACAUUGCAACAGAUGGCGCUUUGGAAGAGAUUCCUUUCUGAACUGCCUGGCCCUCUUAUGGAAAUCCUGUGAGGGGUGAUCUCUGGUGACCAGGCUCAGCAGGAAGAGGAAUGUGCAUCCGACCUUGUGCGGAAGUUUGUCUCCAUGAGGUCAUACAGCUGCUUGAGGUUGCUCGGAGAGUAAGAAGCAGAAUGAGAACUAGAACAGAAGCUCACUUUGGCCUGAAGGCUCAUGUGCUGAGCAUCUUCCCUUGUCUGUCUCCACCCCUAGCCUGGUGCCCAGCAUGUAGAAGACCUUCAUCCUAGAUGCAAUGGGAUUAAACUUGGAGAAAAUGGGAUUAAACUUGGACAAACACUACCUAUUUGGACUUGUGAUGAUGGCUUUCAAACUUCUUAAAGCAAUGAAGUAUUUUUUCCAGAAGAAACCUUACACAAGAAGCCCAGCACACUGAGUCAAGCAUAUGUAGGUGGAAGAUAUCUGGUUGAGACCAAGUAGAGAUAAACCUGUAGAUUCAACUGUGCCACCACAGUGAAUUCUAAGAAUCCACUGACUGUGAUCUGUAAGCUCCUACUCCACAGGAGGUCAGGGCACACAGCUUGAAACCGGAAGGCAGAAGAGUGACAGGGAAGGGUCAUGGACUCUGAAAUUAGAGCUAUCUGUGUUUUAAUACUAGUUCCAAUAGGCACAUGGUCUUGGAUAAAUGGUUUAAAUUA